CAGCCGUAAACUAUGCGCGUUAGGUGUAUCGGUGACCACGAGUUACCGAGGUGCCGAAGGGAAACCGUGAAACGUGCCGCCUGGGAAGUACGGUCGCAAGGCUGAAACUUAAAGGAAUUGGCGGGGGAGCACCGCAACGGGAGGAGCGUGCGGUUUAAUUGGACUCAACGCCGGAAAUCUCACCGGAUAGGACAGACAAAUGAUAGUCGGGCUGAAGACUCUACUUGAUGAUCUGAGAGGUGGUGCAUGGCGUCAGUGACU
This 261-nucleotide ribosomal RNA is filed under the name uncultured archaeon. Its description in RNAcentral is "partial 16S ribosomal RNA". It matches the Rfam family "Archaeal small subunit ribosomal RNA", at positions 748 to 1008 of the family's 1478-position model. The record is from RNAcentral.